GGUCUUGUAUUCAAUAGUGAUUUUAAAUUGCAAAUUUAAAGGUGGGCUUAGGCCCUAAGGCCU
Molecule: transfer RNA, 63 nt
Filed under: Margarinotus merdarius
Lineage: Eukaryota; Metazoa; Arthropoda; Insecta; Coleoptera; Histeridae
Description: tRNA-Cys
Source: RNAcentral